AGUGAACGCUGGCGGUAGGCCUAACACAUGCAAGUCGAACGGCAGCACAGUAAGAGCUUGCCCUUACGGGUGGCGAGUGGCGGACGGGUGAGGAAUACAUCGGAAUCUACUUUUUCGUGGGGGAUAACGCAGGGAAACUUACGCUAAUACCGCAUACGACCUACGGGUGAAAGCAGGGGAUCUUCGGACCUUGCGCGAUUGAAUGAGCCGAUGUCGGAUUAGCUAGUUGGCGGGGUAAAGGCCCACCAAGGCGACGAUCCGUAGCUGGUCUGAGAGGAUGAUCAGCCACACUGGAACUGAGACACGGUCCAGACUCCUACGGGAGGCAGCAGUGGGGAAUAUUGGACAAUGGGCGCAAGCCUGAUCCAGCCAUACCGCGUGGGUGAAGAAGGCCUUCGGGUUGUAAAGCCCUUUUGUUGGGAAAGAAAAGCAGCAGGUUAAUACCCCGCUGUUCUGACGGUACCCAAAGAAUAAGCACCGGCUAACUUCGUG
This 492-nucleotide ribosomal RNA is filed under the name uncultured bacterium. RNAcentral's name for it is "partial 16S ribosomal RNA". It matches the Rfam family "Bacterial small subunit ribosomal RNA", at positions 29 to 507 of the family's 1533-position model. The record is from RNAcentral.